Molecule: ribosomal RNA, 255 nt
Filed under: uncultured bacterium
Lineage: Bacteria
Description: partial 16S ribosomal RNA
Rfam family: Bacterial small subunit ribosomal RNA
Source: RNAcentral
UACGAAGGGGGCUAGCGUUGCUCGGAAUCACUGGGCGUAAAGGGCGCGUAGGCGGCGUUUUUAAGUCGGGGGGUGAAAGCCUGUGGCUCAACCACAGAAUGGCCCUCGAUACUGGGACGCUUGAGUAUGGUAGAGGUUGGUGGAACUGCGAGUGUAGAGGUGAAAUUCGUAGAUAUUCGCAAGAACACCGGUGGCGAAGGCGGCCAACUGGACCAUUACUGACGCUGAGGCGCGAAAGCGUGGGGAGCAAACAGG